UACGAAGGGGGCGAGCGUUGUUCGGAUUUACUGGGCGUAAAGGGCGCGCAGGCGGCUCAUUUUGUCAGGCGUGAAAGCCCCGGGCUUAACCUGGGAACUGCGUUUGAUACGGAUGGGCUAGAGUUCGGGAGAGGAGAGUGGAAUUCCCAGUGUAGAGGUGAAAUUCGUAGAUAUUGGGAAGAACACCGGUGGCGAAGGCGGCGACCUGGUCCUUGACUGACGCUGAGGCGCGAAAGCGUGGGGAGCAAACAGG
RNAcentral lists this ribosomal RNA (253 nucleotides) under uncultured bacterium. RNAcentral describes it as "partial 16S ribosomal RNA". It matches the Rfam family "Bacterial small subunit ribosomal RNA", at positions 524 to 776 of the family's 1533-position model. The record is from RNAcentral.